CCUACGGGAGGCAGCAGUAGGGAAUAUUGCUCAAUGGGGGAAACCCUGAAGCAGCAACGCCGCGUGGAGGAUGAAGGUUUUCGGAUUGUAACCUCCUUUUGUUAGAGAAGAUAAUGACGGUAUCUAACGAAUAAGCACCGGCUAACUCCGUGCCAGCAGCCGCGGUAAUACGGAGGGUGCAAGCGUUACUCGGAAUCACUGGUCGUAAAGCGCGCGUAGGCGGGAUAGCAAGUCAGAUGUGAAAUCCUAUGGCUUAACCAUAGAACGGCAUUUGAAACUGUUAUUCUAGAGUAUGGGAGAGGUAGGUGGAAUUCUUGGUGGAGGGGGAAAAUCCGUAGAGAUCAAGAGGAAUACUCAUUGCGAAGGCGACCUGCUAGAACAUAACUGACGCUGAUGCGCGAAAGCGUGGGGAGCAAACAGGAUUAGAUACCCGGGUAGUC
This 440-nucleotide ribosomal RNA is filed under the name uncultured bacterium. RNAcentral describes it as "partial 16S ribosomal RNA". It matches the Rfam family "Bacterial small subunit ribosomal RNA", at positions 338 to 795 of the family's 1533-position model. The record is from RNAcentral.